CUUUCUCUAUAAAUAUCACCGCCUGGAGCACACUGGAAACGCCCACAUCUCUCUACACAUGCAACCAUUGUAAACCCAAAAAAUAUUCCCAAGUUGGCCACCGAAACCAUUGGAAAGAAGAGAGCGAGUUGCAGCAGGAGAAAAAUGUGGCUGGUGUGUGUGUGCGAGGACCAAGAGAAGCAGCUGGGGAAGCAACAAGCACCAGGGUCCUNNN
Molecule: long non-coding RNA, 214 nt
Filed under: Lotus japonicus
Lineage: Eukaryota; Viridiplantae; Streptophyta; Magnoliopsida; Fabales; Fabaceae
Description: long non-coding RNA (LJAP_LNC000914)
Source: RNAcentral